RNAcentral lists this ribosomal RNA (786 nucleotides) under uncultured bacterium. RNAcentral's name for it is "bacterial SSU rRNA". It matches the Rfam family "Bacterial small subunit ribosomal RNA", at positions 39 to 825 of the family's 1533-position model. The record is from RNAcentral.
GCGGAAUGCUCUACCAUGCAAGUCGAACGGUAGAGGGGGCAACCCCUUGAGAGUGGCGAACGGGUGAGUAAUGUAUCGGAACGUGCCCAGUCGUGGGGGAUAACGUAGUGAAAAUUACGCUAAUACCGCAUACGAUCUAUGGAUGAAAGCGGGGGAUCGCAAGACCUCGCGCGAUUGGAGCGGCCGAUAUCAGAUUAGGUAGUUGGUGGGGUAAAGGCUCACCAAGCCAACGAUCUGUAGCUGGUCUGAGAGGUCGACCAGCCACACUGGAACUGAGACACGGUCCAGACUCCUACGGGAGGCAGCAGUGGGGAAUUUUGGACAAUGGACGCAAGUCUGAUCCAGCCAUUCCGCGUGCGGGACGAAGGCCUUCGGGUUGUAAACUGCUUUUGUACGGAACGAAAAAGCUCUUAUUAAUACUAGGAGUCCAUGACGGUACCGUAAGAAUAAGCACCGGCUAACUACGUGCCAGCAGCCGCGGUAAUACGUAGGGUGCAAGCGUUAAUCGGAAUUACUGGGCGUAAAGCGUGCGCAGGCGGUUAUAUAAAACAGAUGUGAAAUCCCCGAGCUUAACUUGGGAACUGCAUUUGUGACUGUAUAACUAGAGUACGGCAGAAGGGGAUGGAAUUCCGCGUGUAGCAGUGAAAUGCGUAAAUAUGCGGAGGAACACCGAUGGCGAAGGCAAUCCCCUGGGCCUGUACUGACGCUUAUUCACCAAAGCGUGGGGAGCAAACAGGAUUAAAUACCCUGGUAGUCCACGCCCUAAACGGGGUCAACUGGUUGUUG